UCCCAUAUUAUUAAAUUCAGAUUUGAUUAUUAUAAAUCUAUUUGUCUAAAUAUUAUUGUUGGCUUUAGUUGAAAAGUGAAUUGAUUAUGUGAAUAGUUUUAUGUGAUGAUACUUGGUCUAUGGAUUAAUAUGGAUUAUACUGAUUAUGCGUCCUCCUUCUUUCUCUGAUUCCGAGGACGGAAUCCCUAUAAGGAGGGUAGAUUGUAAUGACCCGGAUUUUUAAAAUUUAUUUAUUAUUAUAAAAAUGAUUUUUUUUUCAAAGAAGGGAAUAAGAUUUAAUAUUUUAUUCCAGUUUAAUGAGUUUCAAGGUUUUAUAUUUAAACCCCGGGUUAUUGUGUUAUUGAUAAAUGAUUAUAUUUUUUUAAACUGAUUUUCAUAUAUUGUUUUGAAAAUUUUAGAUGAUUAUUAUGUGAAUAUAUGUGUGAUGUGAGUAAGUGGUAUUGGUGGAUUUGUUGGUUAAUUAAUUAUGGUUAAUUAUGAGUAUUAUAUGAUUAAUAUAUGAAUUUUUGUGAAUUUUGUGUUAUCUAGUUUAUUGAGCUGAAUACUCGUAUGUGUUCGUAUUUGAGAGAUUUCAAUUUCUAUAUGCUCAGGAGAAAAUAUAGUUUAUUUGGAUAUUUUCAUAUCGAUUUAUGGAAUGUUAGAUGAUUUUAUAAUCGAUUUACGGAUUUAAUUGCGUAUAUUUAUAUUUAUUUAUUAAUUAUUGGACUUCCGUAAAACUGUUCACUCGUAGCGAGGUGGCAAAUUUUCUUCCCGGAAGUUUCAACAAAACUCACCUUUAGCCUAAUUUCAAUAUUCCGGACAUUUUUCGUGUUUUGACUUUUUCGAUCCGGAGUACGGUUUUCCCUGGAGUCGGUCCGGCGGAGUUUUCGGGUACUAAAAUUUGUCGAUAAUUAUCCAGUUUGUCUCGAUAAACGUGAACUGAGAUAUUUUCAUCAUCCUUAUCAUGUAAUAAUGGCAGUGGGACCCGCAGACCAAUAAUUGAGUUAAAAAGCCCCGUUUUGAUGAUUAUCUCGAAAACCAGUACCGAUUGGACCCCGCUUUAUUAGUAUAAAGCUAUUAAAUACGUAUUUUCAUGUCAUAAACGAUCCAAAGGGGUACCAAUUAUUUGUAAAUAUAAAUAUACCUUUCUAGAGCUUAUUUUCACCCGUAAAAUCAUUUCACCAGUUUCUCUGCACGAAUACCGAGAGAAACCGAGCGGUGUUCUUCGUGUUCUUCGUAAUCAAACGUGGAUUUGAAGGCGUUAUUGGAGUCAGAAUCAAGCGUGCGAAUAGUCAAAUCGAAGAUAUUGAAGAGUAGAACUCAAAUCAAGCAUCAAAAACAACCUGAGAUUCACAGGUUUUGGACGAGACGUGGAUGACCGAAGACGUUCAGAAGGACAAGUGGUGUUCCAAAGCGAAUAAAGAACGAAUCGAGUAAGCGAAGCGAAGUGGCGAAUAGAGUAUAGCUAGAGAUGGUCUAGAUAUUACGAGAUGCAUAGAUUGUGAAAGUGGAAAGAUGAGAUAGAGAUGUGAGACUGGAGUCAGAUUUAAGAAAAGCUUAAAGAUGAGAUGAUUGAUUGAGAUUGUGGAUAAGGCUAAUGCUAGGCGAGGAGACAGAGUUGAGGAGGAGACAGAGUUGAGGAUCCAGUGGUCAGGGAGUGGUGAGGAAAGUUGAUGAGAUUGGUGCAAGCUGGAAUAGUUGACAGUGAUUCUUCUUAUCGAAGAUGAUCUGACUUGGUAAGAAAUAUUGUAUAGUAUUAGUGGUGGAUUCUAAUUUCAAUACUGUAACCUGGAAGCGAUCCUGUUGUUUUGGGGGUUAAAUGUUCUCUUAAAAUUUUCUUAUUAUGGUUUUCAAGUUUGAAAUUCAGGUUUUGAAAUCAUUUGAUUUAUGUUCUCAUUCAAAGUUUUUAUUAAAUGUUUUCAAGUUUUAAAUUCUUUUGGAUUUUCAUUAUCUUUAAAUGAAAAUACCAGGUUUCAAAAGUAUUUUAAAAAGGGUUUUGUGUGGUGACGUCAGAAUCCAGACCCCCGGAUUCUCGGAAUGUCACAGUUGGUAUCAGAGCAACAGGUUACAAGUUAUUGGAAUUUGAAUAUAGAUUAUAGUCUUAAGUUUUAUAGAGAAGAAUGUUGGGUGACCUCGUAUAGAGGUAUUGUGAGACUAUUUAGAAAUAGUCUAGAGAUGCGAUAGAGGUAUAAAAUCUGGUUAGACGAUCAAGUUGAGUGUAUAGGUUUAGAGAGAUUUUGAUUCUUAAGUUUAGACAUAGGAUUUCUAGUUUGUUGAUUAAUUGAGAUGAUGAAUUGUGUGAAAGGUCAAGGUUAGACCUAGAUAGAAGAGUUGGAUAGUGAAUGAUUGAGUUGAGAAUGGUGAAAAUGCAGGGUUCAGAGUAUUCUGACUAUACUGCAUAUUUGAAAUUGGAUUAUUGUAUUGAUUUGAGGAUGAUAUAAAUGCAUGGUUCAUAGUAUGUUGACCAUGUUGGAUAUUUGGAAAAGUAUAUUGUUUUGUGAGAUAUGAAGAGUUAGUGUAAGAUAUGAGUUGUACUGAAUCAGAAGGAGAGAUUUAUAGAUAGAGGUGGAUAGGUGAGAAGUGAAUGAUAGAGAGUAUGUGGAGUUGAGUCCAGCUAUUAGAGGUAAUGUCUGCGAAUAAGUUAGAACGUUAGUCCUCGACGACAACGCUUCGAGCUAAUCGGGGUUUCAAAUGGCAUCAAGGUGGGCCCAUAACCCACAGGUUGAUGAUCCAGACAAUCGAAGAUACGUUACGUGUUUGUGCUAUGGAUUUCAAAGGCAACUGGGAUAAAGUAGAAGAAUGUAAAUUACAUGGGCCAGAGUUAUUACGGACGAUAACGUCUACGAUGACAUCUUACGAGGCUAUUACGAGUCAAAUCGAUUGAUUAUCGAGAACGUUGAAAGGAUGACAUAAAUCGAAUAACGAUUUCGUAAAGUAGAGUGGGAAUUUGAGAAGACUUUGGCAAUACCUCUCUUCAACUAAAGAUUCUUUUGAUUAUAUGUUUUUCAUCAGUGAGUUAUUAUGAUAUCAUUUCAAUAAACGAGAUUUUCAAUUUCUCAAAUUCUAGGAUGAUAAGGAUAUUGAUUAUUGGUGUGAGUUAGUAUUGAAUCGGUGUAUGAUAAAGGCGUGUUUAUGAAGAGACAGUGGAACUCCUUGAUAUUAUUUGAUAUCCCUUGAUAUUCUUCCAUAUUCUUUGAUAUCCCUUAAUAUUCGUUGAUAUUCUUUGACAUUCUUUGAUAUUCCUUGAUAUCUUUUCGAUAUUCCUUAAUAUAUUCCUCGAUAAUCCUUAACAUUCCUUGAUGCUCCUUGAGAUUUCUUGGAUUCUUUCCAUCUGAUUGGGAUGAACAACCCUAUGUAUAGGGGACACAAGGUAUACCUGUCUGUGUGAUAGGAGUUGGAUGGGACGCCAUCACUUGUGUGUGUUGUGAUUACAAGAAGGUUAACAACCUUUAGUAGUGUCUAAUAUGGACACGCAACAUUAAGUUCAUUUGAUCUUAUUGAUCUCCCAGUCACUCUUGUAUUCCAAUGUGACCUAUUUUGAAAAUAUCUUGUUCCUCCGAAAUUCCCAAAGAUUGAUUCUUGGGAAAUGAAUGUUGCAAUCGCGAAAGUUUGACUUUCCUUUUCCAUUAAAGUUAAAGGUAUGCCAAGAUCAAUCAAAGGUGGAUGACGAUAUGAUAUUACGAAGUGGGUACGUUUUAGUUUCUUCGGAGGAUUCCGAGGACGGAAUCCUUAUAAGGGGGGUAGAAUGUAAUAUCCCAUAUUAUUAAAUUCAGAUUUGAUUAUUAUAAAUCUAUUUGUCUAAAUAUUAUUGUUGGCUUUAGUUGAAAAGUGAAUUGAUUAUGUGAAUAGUUUUAUGUGAUGAUACUUGGUCUAUGGAUUAAUAUGGAUUAUACUGAUUAUGCGUCCUCCUUCUUUCUCUGAUUCCGAGGACGGAAUCCCUAUAAGGAGGGUAGAUUGUAAUGACCCGGAUUUUUAAAAUUUAUUUAUUAUUAUAAAAAUGAUUUUUUUUUCAAAGAAGGGAAUAAGAUUUAAUAUUUUAUUCCAGUUUAAUGAGUUUCAAGGUUUUAUAUUUAAACCCCGGGUUAUUGUGUUAUUGAUAAAUGAUUAUAUUUUUUUAAACUGAUUUUCAUAUAUUGUUUUGAAAAUUUUAGAUGAUUAUUAUGUGAAUAUAUGUGUGAUGUGAGUAAGUGGUAUUGGUGGAUUUGUUGGUUAAUUAAUUAUGGUUAAUUAUGAGUAUUAUAUGAUUAAUAUAUGAAUUUUUGUGAAUUUUGUGUUAUCUAGUUUAUUGAGCUGAAUACUCGUAUGUGUUCGUAUUUGAGAGAUUUCAAUUUCUAUAUGCUCAGGAGAAAAUAUAGUUUAUUUGGAUAUUUUCAUAUCGAUUUAUGGAAUGUUAGAUGAUUUUAUAAUCGAUUUACGGAUUUAAUUGCGUAUAUUUAUAUUUAUUUAUUAAUUAUUGGACUUCCGUAAAACUGUUCACUCGUAACGAGGUGGCAAAUUUUCUUCCCGGAAGUUUCAACAAAACUCACCUUUAGCCUAAUUUCAAUAUUCCGGACAUUUUUCGUGUUUUGACUUUUUCGAUCCGGAGUACGGUUUUCCCUGGAGUCGGUCCGGCGGAGUUUUCGGGUACUAAAAUUUGUCGAUAAUUAUCCAGUUUGUCUCGAUAAACGUGAACUGAGAUAUUUUCAUCAUCCUUAUCAUGUAAUAAUGGCAGUGGGACCCGCAGACCAAUAAUUGAGUUAAAAAGCCCCGUUUUGAUGAUUAUCUCGAAAACCAGUACCGAUUGGACCCCGCUUUAUUAGUAUAAAGCUAUUAAAUACGUAUUUUCAUGUCAUAAACGAUCCAAAGGGGUACCAAUUAUUUGUAAAUAUAAAUAUACCUUUCUAGAGCUUAUUUUCACCCGUAAAAUCAUUUCACCAGUUUCUCUGCACGAAUACCGAGAGAAACCGAGCGGUGUUCUUCGUGUUCUUCGUAAUCAAACGUGGAUUUGAAGGCGUUAUUGGAGUCAGAAUCAAGCGUGCGAAUAGUCAAAUCGAAGAUAUUGAAGAGUAGAACUCAAAUCAAGCAUCAAAAACAACCUGAGAUUCACAGGUUUUGGACGAGACGUGGAUGACCGAAGACGUUCAGAAGGACAAGUGGUGUUCCAAAGCGAAUAAAGAACGAAUCGAGUAAGCGAAGCGAAGUGGCGAAUAGAGUAUAGCUAGAGAUGGUCUAGAUAUUACGAGAUGCAUAGAUUGUGAAAGUGGAAAGAUGAGAUAGAGAUGUGAGACUGGAGUCAGAUUUAAGAAAAGCUUAAAGAUGAGAUGAUUGAUUGAGAUUGUGGAUAAGGCUAAUGCUAGGCGAGGAGACAGAGUUGAGGAGGAGACAGAGUUGAGGAUCCAGUGGUCAGGGAGUGGUGAGGAAAGUUGAUGAGAUUGGUGCAAGCUGGAAUAGUUGACAGUGAUUCUUCUUAUCGAAGAUGAUCUGACUUGGUAAGAAAUAUUGUAUAGUAUUAGUGGUGGAUUCUAAUUUCAAUACUGUAACCUGGAAGCGAUCCUGUUGUUUUGGGGGUUAAAUGUUCUCUUAAAAUUUUCUUAUUAUGGUUUUCAAGUUUGAAAUUCAGGUUUUGAAAUCAUUUGAUUUAUGUUCUCAUUCAAAGUUUUUAUUAAAUGUUUUCAAGUUUUAAAUU
Molecule: long non-coding RNA, 5644 nt
Organism: Daucus carota subsp. sativus
Lineage: Eukaryota; Viridiplantae; Streptophyta; Magnoliopsida; Apiales; Apiaceae
Exons: 5
Source: RefSeq, a predicted model, not a curated record